Molecule: transfer RNA, 72 nt
Filed under: Chloroflexota bacterium
Lineage: Bacteria; Bacillati; Chloroflexota
Also listed under: 3 other names
Description: Chloroflexi bacterium (cold seep metagenome) tRNA-Met
Rfam family: tRNA
About the family: Transfer RNA (tRNA) molecules are approximately 80 nucleotides in length. Their secondary structure includes four short double-helical elements and three loops (D, anti-codon, and T loops). Further hydrogen bonds mediate the characteristic L-shaped molecular structure. tRNAs have two regions of fundamental functional importance: the anti-codon, which is responsible for specific mRNA codon recognition, and the 3' end, to which the tRNAs corresponding amino acid is attached (by aminoacyl-tRNA synthetases). tRNAs cope with the degeneracy of the genetic code in two manners: having more than one tRNA (with a specific anti-codon) for a particular amino acid; and 'wobble' base-pairing, i.e. permitting non-standard base-pairing at the 3rd anti-codon position.
Source: RNAcentral
UGCGGGGUAGAGCAGAGGCAGCUCGUCGGGCUCAUAACCCGGAGGUCCCAGGUUCGAAUCCUGGCCCCGCUA